Molecule: ribosomal RNA, 226 nt
Filed under: uncultured bacterium
Lineage: Bacteria
Description: partial 16S ribosomal RNA
Rfam family: Bacterial small subunit ribosomal RNA
Source: RNAcentral
CGACGUAGGUAACCUGCCUUGUAGCGGGGGAUAACUAUUGGAAACGAUAGCUAAUACCGCAUAACAAUGGAUGACACAUGUCAUUUAUUUGAAAGGGGCAAAUGCUCCACUACAAGAUGGACCUGCGUUGUAUUAGCUAGUAGGUGAGGUAACGGCUCACCUAGGCGACGAUACAUAGCCGACCUGAGAGGGUGAUCGGCCACACUGGGACUGAGACACGGCCCAG